UAGGGAAUAUUGCACAAUGGAGGAAACUCUGAUGCAGCGACGCCGCGUGAGUGAUGAAGGCCUUCGGGUCGUAAAGCUCUGUCGCAGGGGAAUAAGACAGUGAAUGUACCCUGAAAGAAAGGAUCGGCUAACUUCGUGCCAGCAGCCGCGGUAAGACGAGGGAUCCAAGCGUUGUUCGGAAUUAUUGGGCGUAAAGCGGGUGUAGGUGGCUUUGUAAGUCAGGUGUGAAAGCCCAGGGCUCAACCCUGGAAGUGCAUUUGAUACUGCGAAGCUUGAGUGUAGGAGAGGUUACUAGAAUUCUUGGUGUAGUGGUGAAAUACGUAGAUAUCAAGAGGAAUACCGGAGGCGAAGGCGGGUAACUGGCCUAACACUGACACUCAGACCCGAAAGCGUGGGGAUCAAAC
This 404-nucleotide ribosomal RNA is filed under the name uncultured bacterium. RNAcentral describes it as "bacterial SSU rRNA". It matches the Rfam family "Bacterial small subunit ribosomal RNA", at positions 355 to 773 of the family's 1533-position model. The record is from RNAcentral.